AUGAACGCUGGCGGCGUGCCUUAUACAUGCAAGUCGAGCGAACAGACGAGGAGCUUGCUCCUCUGACGUUAGCGGCGGACGGGUGAGUAACACGUGGAUAACCUACCUAUAAGACUGGGAAAACUUAGGGAAACGGGAGCUAAUACCGGAUAAUGUAUUGAACCGCAUGGUGCAGUAGUGAAAGAUGGUUGUGCUGUGACGGAUAGACGGAUUAGCGCCGCAUUAGCUAGUUGGUGAGUUAACGGCGUACUAAGGCAACGAUGGGUAGCCUACCGGGGAGGGUGAUCGGCCACAUGGGAACUGAGACAGGGUCCAGACUCCUAAGGGACGCAGCAGUAGGCAAUCUUACGCAAUGGGCGAAAGCUUGGCGGAGCAACGCCGAGUCAGUGAUAACGCUCUUCGGAUCGUAAAACUCUGUUAUUAGUGAAGAACAAAUUUGUAAGUAACUAUGCACGUCUUGACGGUACCUAAUCAGAAAGCCACGGCUAACUACGUG
RNAcentral lists this ribosomal RNA (496 nucleotides) under uncultured bacterium. Its description in RNAcentral is "partial 16S ribosomal RNA". It matches the Rfam family "Bacterial small subunit ribosomal RNA", at positions 29 to 507 of the family's 1533-position model. The record is from RNAcentral.